UGGGGAAUAUUGCACAAUGGGCGCAAGCCUGAUGCAGCCAUGCCGCGUGUGUGAAGAAGGCCUUCGGGUUGUAAAGCACUUUCAGCGGGGAGGAAGGCGUUAAGGUUAAUAACCUUGGCGAUUGACGUUACCCGCAGAAGAAGCACCGGCUAACUCCGUGCCAGCAGCCGCGGUAAUACGGAGGGUGCAAGCGUUAAUCGGAAUUACUGGGCGUAAAGCGCACGCAGGCGGUCUGUCAAGUCGGAUGUGAAAUCCCCGGGCUCAACCUGGGAACUGCAUGCGAAACUGGCAGGCUAGAGUCUUGUAGAGGGGGGUAGAAUUCCAGGUGUAGCGGUGAAAUGCGUAGAGAUCUGGAGGAAUACCGGUGGCGAAGGCGGCCCCCUGGACAAAGACUGACGCUCAGGUGCGAAAGCGUGGGGAGCAAACAGG
RNAcentral lists this ribosomal RNA (429 nucleotides) under Chloroflexota bacterium. RNAcentral's name for it is "Chloroflexi bacterium partial 16S ribosomal RNA". It matches the Rfam family "Bacterial small subunit ribosomal RNA", at positions 355 to 776 of the family's 1533-position model. Lineage: Bacteria; Bacillati; Chloroflexota. The record is from RNAcentral.